CAGUCGCCGCGGUAAUACGUAGGUGGCAAGCGUUGUCCGGAAUUAUUGGGCGUAAAGGGCUCGCAGGCGGUUUCUUAAGUCUGAUGUGAAAGCCCCCGGCUCAACCGGGGAGGGUCAUUGGAAACUGGGAAACUUGAGUGCAGAAGAGGAGAGUGGAAUUCCACGUGUAGCGGUGAAAUGCGUAGAGAUGUGGAGGAACAUCAGUGGCGAAGGCGACUCUCUGGUCUGUAACUGACGCUGAGGAGCGAAAGCGUGGGGAGCGAACAGGAUUAGAGACCCCUGUAGUCCCUGUCUCUUAUAC
This 301-nucleotide ribosomal RNA is filed under the name uncultured bacterium. RNAcentral describes it as "partial 16S ribosomal RNA". It matches the Rfam family "Bacterial small subunit ribosomal RNA", at positions 509 to 807 of the family's 1533-position model. The record is from RNAcentral.